AUUGAACGCUGGCGGCAUGCCUUACACAUGCAAGUCGAACGGUAACGGGCCUUCGGGUGCCGACGAGUGGCGAACGGGUGAGUAAUACAUCGGAACGUGCCCGAUCGUGGGGGAUAACGAGGCGAAAGCUUUGCUAAUACCGCAUACGAUCUACGGAUGAAGGCAGGGGACCGCAAGGCCUUGCGCGGACGGAGCGGCCGAUGGCAGAUUAGGUAGUUGGUGGGAUAAAAGCUUACCAAGCCGACGAUCUGUAGCUGGUCUGAGAGGAUGAUCAGCCACACUGGGACUGAGACACGGCCCAGACUCCUACGGGAGGCAGCAGUGGGAAUUUUGGACAAUGGGCGCAAGCCUGAUCCAGCCAUGCCGCGUGCAGGAUGAAGGCCUUCGGGUUGUAAACUGCUUUUGUACGGAACGAAAAGCCUUCUUUUAAUACAGGAGGGUCAUGACGGUACCGUAAGAAUAAGCACCGGCUAACUACGUG
Molecule: ribosomal RNA, 481 nt
Filed under: uncultured bacterium
Lineage: Bacteria
Description: partial 16S ribosomal RNA
Rfam family: Bacterial small subunit ribosomal RNA
Source: RNAcentral